This 483-nucleotide ribosomal RNA is filed under the name uncultured bacterium. RNAcentral's name for it is "partial 16S ribosomal RNA". It matches the Rfam family "Bacterial small subunit ribosomal RNA", at positions 28 to 507 of the family's 1533-position model. The record is from RNAcentral.
AUUGAACGCUGGCGGCAUGCUUUACACAUGCAAGUCGAACGGCAGCGCGGGCUUCGCCCUGGCGGCGAGUGGCGAACGGGUGAGUAAUGCAUCGGAACGUGCCCAGUAGUGGGGGAUAGCCCGGCGAAAGCCGGAUUAAUACCGCAUACGACCUGAGGGUGAAAGCGGGGGACCGAAAGGCCUCGCGCUAUUGGAGCGGCCGAUGUCGGAUUAGCUAGUUGGUGGGGUAAAGGCUUACCAAGGCGACGAUCCGUAGCUGGUCUGAGAGGACGACCAGCCACACUGGGACUGAGACACGGCCCAGACUCCUACGGGAGGCAGCAGUGGGGAAUUUUGGACAAUGGGGGCAACCCUGAUCCAGCCAUGCCGCGUGCGGGAAGAAGGCCUUCGGGUUGUAAACCGCUUUUGUUCGGGAAGAAAUCCUGGGGCUAAUACCCCGGGGGGAUGACGGUACCGGAAGAAUAAGCACCGGCUAACUACGUG